RNAcentral lists this ribosomal RNA (1400 nucleotides) under uncultured bacterium. Its description in RNAcentral is "bacterial SSU rRNA". It matches the Rfam family "Bacterial small subunit ribosomal RNA". The record is from RNAcentral.
UUAGAGUUUCUUUCUGGCUCAGGAUGAACGCUAGCGGCAGGCUUAACACAUGCAAGUCGAGGGGCAGCGAGAUCAGUGCUUGCACUGAUUGUCGGCGACCGGCGCACGGGUGCGUAACGCGUAUGCAACCUACCCAUUACAGGGGGAUAACACUGAGAAAUCGGUACUAAUACCCCAUAACAUCCAGGGAGGCAUCUUCUUGGGUUGAAAACUCCGGUGGUAAUGGAUGGGCAUGCGUUGUAUUAGUUAGUUGGUGGGGUAACGGCUCACCAAGACAACGAUACAUAGGGGGACUGAGAGGUUAACCCCCCACAUUGGUACUGAGACACGGACCAAACUCCUACGGGAGGCAGCAGUGAGGAAUAUUGGUCAAUGGACGCAAGUCUGAACCAGCCAUGCCGCGUGCAGGAAGACGGCUCUAUGAGUUGUAAACUGCUUUUGUACGAGGGUAAACGCAGAUACGCGUAUCUGUCUGAAAGUAUCGUACGAAUAAGGAUCGGCUAACUCCGUGCCAGCAGCCGCGGUAAUACGGAGGAUUCAAGCGUUAUCCGGAUUUAUUGGGUUUAAAGGGUGCGUAGGCGGUCGGAUAAGUUAGAGGUGAAAUCCCGGGGCUCAACUUCGGAAUUGCCUCUGAUACUGUUCGGCUAGAGAGUAGUUGCGGUAGGCGGAAUGUAUGGUGUAGCGGUGAAAUGCUUAGAGAUCAUACAGAACACCGAUCGCGAAGGCAGCUUACCAAGCUACUUCUGACGUUGAGGCACGAAAGCGUGGGGAGCAAACAGGAUUAGAUACCCUGGUAGUCCACGCAGUAAACGAUGAUAACUCGUUGUCGGCGAUACAGUGUCGGUGACUAAGCGAAAGCGAUAAGUUAUCCACCUGGGGAGUACGUUCGCAAGAAUGAAACUCAAAGGAAUUGACGGGGGCCCGCACAAGCGGAGGAACAUGUGGUUUAAUUCGAUGAUACGCGAGGAACCUUACCCGGGCUUGAAAGUUAGUGACGGAUCUUGAAAGAGGUCUUCCCUUCGGGGCACGAAACUAGGUGCUGCAUGGUUGUCGUCAGCUCGUGCCGUGAGGUGUCGGGUUAAGUCCCAUAACGAGCGCAACCCCUACCGUUAGUUGCCAGCAGGUCAAGCUGGGCACUCUGACGGGACUGCCGGUGUAAGCCGAGAGGAAGGUGGGGAUGACGUCAAAUCAGCACGGCCCUUACGUCCGGGGCUACACACGUGUUACAAUGGCAGGUACAGAGGGCAGCUACCCAGCGAUGGGAUGCGAAUCUCGAAAGCCUGUCUCAGUUCGGAUUGGAGGCUGAAACCCGCCUCCAUGAAGUUGGAUUCGCUAGUAAUCGCGCAUCAGCCAUGGCGCGGUGAAUACGUUCCCGGGCCUUGCACUCACCGCCCGUCAAG